GCUGAUCUCGUGGUGGUGGCACGUGUGGUCCCAGCUCCUCGAACGGCAGAGGCAGAAGGACCCCCUGAGCUCAGGAGUGCCGGCAGAGAGAGCAUCGUGCCAGUUGGGGUCCCCAUGAAGUCUGGCAUCAAGAUGGUGCCCUCCUGGGAGUAGGUGACCACCAUGUUGUCUAAGGAGAGGUGAACCAGCCCACACCGGAAACAGAGCAGGUCAAAACUCCCAGGCUAAUCACUUAUGAGAACAUGCCUGUGACUCGUCACUGCACUCCAGCCUGAGCAACACAGUGCGACCCUUUCUAU
RNAcentral lists this signal recognition particle RNA (299 nucleotides) under Neogale vison (American mink). Its description in RNAcentral is "Neovison vison (American mink) Metazoan signal recognition particle RNA (ENSNVIG00000010371.1)". It matches the Rfam family "Metazoan signal recognition particle RNA". From Rfam's summary of the family: The signal recognition particle (SRP) is a universally conserved ribonucleoprotein. It is involved in the co-translational targeting of proteins to membranes. Lineage: Eukaryota; Metazoa; Chordata; Mammalia; Carnivora; Mustelidae. The record is from RNAcentral.